CUGGUUGAUCCUGCCAGGUCUUGAAAGCACCCUUCAACUCUUCCCGGAGGUGUUUCUGGGCUGCAAACUCCUCUUUAUCUGAACGUUUCCGUUUCAAUGGAUCCUGACCGUCGUCCUGCCCUGCGGAAUCCUGCCCCGCUGCCGGCCGGUCUUUCAGAGCCGGGUCUGAGGAUUGCUGCGCCUGAACUUUUGAGGAGGGAAGGAAGAUGAGGCCGCACCCAAGUGCGACAAACAGGAACAAACGGCCGUUGAAAUUCAUUGCGUCAAAAUGCUCCCUACAAUGGCUCUUAUUCUACGUUCCGUGCAGGUGCGCGGCAAGGCAUGAUGUGGCUGUCGCUGGCGAUUCGACGUCCGAGAAGCUGGAAUGUCACCCCAACCGGUAUUUUCACGUGAUCAAGUGCAUGAUUUUCUGAGACAAAUAGCCAUCCAGCUGCGUCAAUUGAAGUGAACGCAAACUCCUCAAAAAAUCGAUUGAUCGGUUCCCGACGGGCACGGCAAUAAGGCGCCUGGAAUAGAACCGACCAAUGCGACCAGUCUUACACCUUCGUUUACGGGUUCGCGGACCGGUGAAUUGUUGGGACGACCGGGAACCUGGCAGGAUCAACCAG
This 608-nucleotide ribosomal RNA is filed under the name uncultured eukaryote. RNAcentral's name for it is "partial 18S ribosomal RNA". The record is from RNAcentral.